GACGAACGCUGGCGGCGUGCUUAACACAUGCAAGUCGAACGGAAAGGCCCUGCUUUUGUGGGGUGCUCGAGUGGCGAACGGGUGUGUAACACGUGAGUAACCUGCCCUUGACUUUGGGAUAACUUCAGGAAACUGGGGCUAAUAUCGGAUAGGAGCUCUUGCUGCAUGGUGUGGGUUGGAAAGUUUCGGCGGUGGGGGAUGGACUCGCGGCUUAUCGGCUUGUUGGGCGGGUAGUGGCUUCCGAGGUCUUCGACGGAUAGCCGGCCUUGGAGGGGGAACGGCCUCCAGAGUACUGAGGUACGGCCCAGUCGCCUAUGUGAGGCAGCAGGGGAGAGUAUUGCACAAUGGCGCGGCGCCUGUUGUAGCAACCUCGGGUGCGGAAUGCCGUCUUACGGGUGGAGAACCAAUUUCGCCUGAAACGUAGCGUGCUUGACGGUACUGGGUAAGGAAGCACCGGCUAACUACGUG
Molecule: ribosomal RNA, 468 nt
Filed under: uncultured bacterium
Lineage: Bacteria
Description: partial 16S ribosomal RNA
Rfam family: Bacterial small subunit ribosomal RNA
Source: RNAcentral